Molecule: non-coding RNA, 32 nt
Filed under: Homo sapiens (human)
Lineage: Eukaryota; Metazoa; Chordata; Mammalia; Primates; Hominidae
Source: RNAcentral
UCCAACUGCUACCAACCCCUCUUCCAGGAAUA